This is a long non-coding RNA of Acyrthosiphon pisum (pea aphid), 1538 nucleotides long. RefSeq lists it as uncharacterized. The transcript is spliced from 2 exons. The record is from RefSeq and is a predicted model, not a curated record. Lineage: Eukaryota; Metazoa; Arthropoda; Insecta; Hemiptera; Aphididae.
UUUAUGCUAGGUUAAGUAUAGUUUCGACGGCGAGAACUUGUUGAUUCGGUACCGGUGAAUGCAGUAUACUGUAGUCUCGUCAUAAAAGCCGGAGCGGUGGACACUGACCACAUCAUCCAGGACAAGGACAAUGGCUGUCAGUCGUGCAGAGUGUCCGGGACUGUUACUUUGUUACUAGUUGCUGCUUAUUUUUACUUCGGCUGCAAGCACGUGAAACCCGUAUAUUACUUCGGAACCACGGGUAUGAUAUCUUUAGCUGCGUCGAGAGCAUUAGAUUGACACCUUUCAAUGGUUAACAUUUCAAAAUCAGUCUUGUGGUCAGAAUUUAUAUAAUGGUAAAAAAGUUUCACUAUCAAGGUAAAUGAUAUAAUUUAUUAAUGUCUUAUAACAAUUAUUCUAGUCAGAUUGUUAUACCUAACAAUUGUAGUUUGAUUAUAUUUUUGCAAUGUGAUAGAUAUUGCUAGGAUCUAUACAACUGGUUUCAGGCGCGGACUGGUAAAAAAGGGCGCUCGAUGCUACAUAAUUUAAAGGGCAAAUAGAACAAAUUUUGGGGGUAAAUUUUAAAUGUGUAGGUUAUUUAUAAAACAUUUAAAUAUUUUCUUUUGAUUUAAUAAAAUAUUGUAAUUACGUUAAAAGUGUAAAUAGGUGCCAAAUUACAACAAACAUUAAAAAAAUUACAAAUUUACAAACUUCUACAGUUGUAUGGUAAGAAAAAUAAAAAUAAAUUGAUGGUCCGUUAUUACACAUAACACAUUCAAAUAUUUUAUUUAAUUACUUUUAAAAUAUCAUAAAUCUGAUUUUAGGGAUUGCGACAUAGGUAGGUAGUAGAUAUAUGAUUAAACAAAGAUAUACUUGCUACUUAAGUACAAUACUCAUAUAUCUCAGCUAUACAUAUAAUUCCCUAGUAACAUAUAUUCCUGAAAAAAAUAAAAUUGUACUAGUUUUGUCGACAAUGCAUAAUAGUAAAACCAUAGAUGAAAGUACAGACUUAGCAAAAUAAAAACCAGAAAUUAUUACAUUUAAUAAUGCCACAAAAGGAGCUGUUGAUAAAUGGACAGGAUUACAGAAAACUAUAGAUACAGUUGCAAGACGGAGUAAUAGACGGCCACUUACAGUAUUUUAUUCAAUGUUGCUGUAAAUAUUCAAGUUAUACAUAACGAAAACAGUCAAACUAAAUAUACUCGUCUUCAAUUUUUAAAAAUAUUAGAAAUACCACUAAUGGAUGAACAGUUACAAUAUCGUGCAACAUUACUUUCACUUCCACAAAAUAUUAAAACGCGACUAAAUAUUUAUGGGUACUAACCGACAUUACAAGUAGGUGAGCAGCAGGUAAGAGCGUCAAGAAAAUGUCAAUUUUGUGACCGUCUACGUGAUGGAAAAACAACAAAAGUAUGCACUAAUUGUGCAAAAAUUAUAGGUAUGCAGAGACCACUUAGUUACAGUACACUGAAUUGAUUUUAAUCAUUUUUAAUGGCUAACGGAGUACAGGAGAUCAGCUAGUUUGCACAAGUCCAGCGAUAAAAAAAAAAAAAAAAAAA